Long non-coding RNA from Octopus bimaculoides (California two-spot octopus), 1516 nucleotides. RefSeq lists it as uncharacterized. Lineage: Eukaryota; Metazoa; Mollusca; Cephalopoda; Octopoda; Octopodidae. The record is from RefSeq and is a predicted model, not a curated record.
AGACGUUUUGCUUAAUUUUGCAAAAUGUUCUUUUAUGAUGUCAUUUCAACUAAGAUUAUUCAGCACAGAAAAUGAAAAGAAAUAUAUUUGAUGCUCUUCUUUUAGCUCUAUAUUUUAUACUAGCUUAUAAGCUGCACUCUGUGCAGACUUUUAAGCUAGCUCCUGCGGAGGGCUAAUUGAGCCUGCGACCCAAAACUAAAGAGAGCUAAAUAGCAUGACUAUAAUACGUUUCUAAUGACUUUAUGCCCCAGUGGUGUUUGAUCAGAGGUUAAGGAUGGAGAAGAAUUAAUUCUGUAAAGCAAUCAUUCUAUUGUUCCAGUCCCAAGUUGAAUUCCAACUGUCGGUCAAUUUGUUCCAAAGUUCUUAUCUCGACGUAAAAUUAACAAAGCGGAUGUCAUUUAUCUCCCUUUUGAUCUCUGAUGUCAUCUGACAAAUGCCAAGCAAGAUGGCGUGAAUCAGCAAAGCUUUACCUGCUAGAAAUAGCAACCCAAAUACUUUUAAGUCAGAUCCCAACGCUGGAUGUUCAAGAACUAAAUGAAGGACAGAUUUUCAAUCCCGGGAUCAUGCUGAUUCCUAAAAGGAGCAAAGACUAUGUUCAUAGCACUUUAAAAGGUCUCCAAGAGUAGAAGUGGCAAGGAAGGACGUAAUUAUCCUCAAAGCAGAAGUCUGACCUGCAUGCUUGCAACAGUAGACUCUGCUAAAGUUACUCAAUGUGACAAGUGGCAGUGUUAAACCAAAAGACUUAAUCUGUAAUUCGUCUUAACCACAGCGGAAUUUGAACUCAAGCCAUGAAGCUAAACGGUUUUUCUUCUAAUUACGGCAGUAAUUUCAAUUGACUAAAGAUCUUUUUGGCUCACUUCAAAAAGUUCAUUCUCAGUUGAUUAUAAUUAAUCAUGUUGUUUUUUCAAGCCGGGCGUAUUCAUGGGAAUGUUUUCCAAUGUCAUCAAUUGCCUAUUGUCUGAGUCACAUAAUUAGUUCUAAUGAUUAUUGAUAAUUCUUGUAUUGAAAUUGUUAACAUCAAUUUAUAUUUCUUUUGAUCCCGAGAUGUUACGUGUGUCUGCAGCUUUCAGUUGGAAGUUCUAAAGUGAUAAAAAUCUUUACAAAUAUUUGGAACUGCCGAGGUUAAAACAAUUGGGUCUCUUGAGAUUUGGUAUACUUUAAGCGUCGUAAAGAAUACACUAGUAAUCUGACUAUUGAUACAAUUAUACCAUUGCCUGGCACUCACUCUUUUCUUCGUACAGGUGAAUACAACAUGUUUGAGAUCUACCCAUCUGACCACGAUGUUGUUAGUACGACUACAGUUUUCGACCUUGGAUGUAUCCCUGAAGUCUUGUGUUUGUUCUUCUGAGAGAGGUUGAUAAUAACGAGAUCGUGCUCACAGAGAAAGAAAGUAAUGCUAUUGCUGUUAAUUUUAUCAAAUCACAGCACCUGAUCACGCGGUCUCACUCUUUCAUUUUCUAUUUCUCUGUGUUCUUGCAUUAAAAUCAUUCAUUAGAAUGAUUAAGGUGAUGUUCUA